Molecule: ribosomal RNA, 746 nt
Filed under: bioreactor metagenome
Description: bacterial SSU rRNA
Rfam family: Bacterial small subunit ribosomal RNA
Source: RNAcentral
GGGUAGCAAACGGGAUUAGAGACCCCGGUAGUCCUAGCUGUAAACGAUGUGAACUUGGCGUCGGUGGGAUUAAAUCCAUCGGUGUCGAAGCUAACGCGAUAAGUUCACCGCCUGAGGACUACGGCCGCAAGGUUAAAACUCAAAGGAAUUGACGGGGACCCGCACAAGCAGCGGAGCGUGUGGUUUAAUUCGUUGCUACACGAAGAACCUUACCUAGGUUUGACAUAUAGGUUGUAGGGAACUGAAAAGGGACCGACCCUCGGGGAGCCUAUACAGGUGUUGCAUGGCUGUCGUCAGCUCGUGUCGUGAGAUGUUCGGUUAAGUCCGCUAACGAGCGCAACCCUCGCCGUAUGUUACAAGUGUCAUACGGGACUGCCAGUAAAAAGCUGGAGGAAGGUGGGGAUGAUGUCAAGUCAGCAUGACCUUUAUAUCUAGGGCUACACACACGCUACAAUGGUCUGUACAAUGGGUAGCCAAGCCGCGAGGCGGAGCCAAUCCUAAAAAGCAGGCCUCAGUUCAGAUUGCAGUCUGCAACCCGACUGCAUGAAGCCGGAGUUGCUAGUAACCGCAGGUCAGCAAUACUGCGGUGAAUACGUUCCCGGGUCUUGUACACACCGCCCGUCACGUCAUGGAAGCUGGCAACGCCUGAAGCCGGUAUCCUAACCUCACGGGAAGGAGCCGUUUAAGGCGGGGUCGGUGACUGGGACGAAGUCGUAACAAGGUAGGUGUACCGGAAGGUGCGCCUG